RNAcentral lists this long non-coding RNA (325 nucleotides) under Elaeis guineensis (African oil palm). RNAcentral's name for it is "long non-coding RNA (EGUI_LNC069894)". Lineage: Eukaryota; Viridiplantae; Streptophyta; Magnoliopsida; Arecales; Arecaceae. The record is from RNAcentral.
AGCAUGUCUGCACUCCUCCCCGAGCUCGUAGGUAGAGGAGCCCAGACCACAGGGUUCGGCGAAGCUCUCCCCCAGGAAGAUUCCACAGCUACGCCCCCCUCAAUGCUCCAAAAGCUCAAGUGCUGAUGGAGGUCAGGGAGCAGCUGCCAAGGUCGGAAAGAACACACACACGCCCCAGGAAGUGCAACCCUAACAAGUUCUACUUCUAUCAUCGUGACCACGGCCACGACACGAAGGACUGUAUUCAGCUCCAAGAUGAGAUUGAGGAGCUCAUCAAACGAGAUUGGCUCGACAGAUUCAUUCGAUGCCAGCCUGAAAGUAGGGA